This 1000-nucleotide ribosomal RNA is filed under the name uncultured Verrucomicrobiales bacterium HF0070_30L02. RNAcentral describes it as "16S ribosomal RNA". The record is from RNAcentral. Lineage: Bacteria; Pseudomonadati; Verrucomicrobiota; Verrucomicrobiia; Verrucomicrobiales.
GGCGAGCAGCGUGAGUCGGACCGUGUCGACGGCGUCGAACAGCGGCUCCUUGUCCUCCUGCAUGUCCUUGUUGUAGGUGAGCGGUAAUCCCUUGAGCGUGGUGAGGAAACCCGUGAGGUGGCCGAUGAGUCGACCUGCCUUGCCCCGGGCGAGUUCGGCGAUAUCGGGGUUCUUCUUUUGGGGCAUCAUCGACGACCCGGUCGAGAAUCCGUCGUCGAGGGUCACGAAUCCGAACUCCGUCGAUGCCCACAGGAUCCACUCCUCGCCGAUACGGCUCAGGUGCACCCCGAGCAACGACAGGGCGAAGAGCGCCUCGGCCACAAAGUCUCGAUCGGCGACACCGUCAAGGCUGUUGUCGAAGACCGCAUCGAAGCCGAGAUAGGCGGCGGACUUUUCCGGGUCGAGCGGCAACGACGAACCGGCCAGCGCUCCCGCGCCGAGCACCGAGACAUUGGUGCGCUUGCGGGCGUCGACGAGCCGCUCGGCGUCGCGAGCCAGAGCCCAGGCGUGGGCGAGCAGAUGGUGCGAGAGGGCGACGGGCUGUGCCUGCUGGAGGUGGGUGUAACCGGGUAGGUAGGCGUCGCCCGCCUGCUCGGCGUGGGCCAGGAGCGUGCGCUGCAGACGCUCGAUGAGGUCGAGUACCUCGUCGAUCGCCGAACGGGUCCAGAGCCGGAGAUCGGUGGCGACCUGAUCAUUGCGGCUGCGGCCGGUGUGCAUCUUGGCGCCAGCGGGCUCAAGUUCGGUGACUCGACGCUCGACAGCGGUGUGGAUGUCCUCGUCGUUGACCUGGAAGUCGAACGAGCCCGACUCGAUCUCGUGCUCGACCGUGUCGAGGGCCGCGAGCACAGCGUCACGCUCGGCCUCGGUGAACAGGCCGACAUCGCAGAGCAUGCGGACAUGCGCCCGAGACCCGGCGAUGUCCUCACGGAACAUGCGCUGGUCGAACGGCAGACUGUCGUUCAGCGCCUGCAGCGCCUCCGACGGGCCGUCGGCGAACCGG